This 495-nucleotide ribosomal RNA is filed under the name uncultured bacterium. Its description in RNAcentral is "partial 16S ribosomal RNA". It matches the Rfam family "Bacterial small subunit ribosomal RNA", at positions 28 to 507 of the family's 1533-position model. The record is from RNAcentral.
GACGAACGCUGGCGGCGUGCCUAAUACAUGCAAGUAGAACGCUGAAGGAGGAGCUUGCUUCUCUGGAUGAGUUGCGAACGGGUGAGUAACGCGUAGGUAACCUGCCUGGUAGCGGGGGAUAACUAUUGGAAACGAUAGUUAAUACCGCAUAAUAGUAGAUGUUGCAUGACAUUUGCUUAAAAGGUGCAAUUGCAUCACUACCAGAUGGACCUGCGUUGUAUUAGCUAGUUGGUGGGGUAACGGCUCACCAAGGCGACGAUACAUAGCCGACCUGAGAGGGUGAUCGGCCACACUGGGACUGAGACACGGCCCAGACUCCUACGGGAGGCAGCAGUAGGGAAUCUUCGGCAAUGGACGGAAGUCUGACCGAGCAACGCCGCGUGAGUGAAGAAGGUUUUCGGAUCGUAAAGCUCUGUUGUAAGAGAAGAACGAGUGUGAGAGUGGAAAGUUCACACUGUGACGGUAUCUUACCAGAAAGGGACGGCUAACUACGUG